Molecule: microRNA precursor, 76 nt
Filed under: Myotis lucifugus (little brown bat)
Lineage: Eukaryota; Metazoa; Chordata; Mammalia; Chiroptera; Vespertilionidae
Description: mir-9229 microRNA precursor family
Rfam family: mir-9229 microRNA precursor family
Source: Rfam by way of RNAcentral
GAGACACCCGUAUAGAGCAGGACUUGCUUCAGUGGGGCUUUGGUGCUCACUGAGUCUUCUUCUUGAGUGUGUCGCU